CUUUUAUGGAGAGUUUGAUCCUGGCUCAGGACGAACGCUGGCGGCGUGCCUAAUACAUGCAAGUCGAGCGGAUG
Molecule: ribosomal RNA, 74 nt
Filed under: Chryseomicrobium excrementi
Lineage: Bacteria; Bacillati; Bacillota; Bacilli; Caryophanales; Caryophanaceae
Description: partial 16S ribosomal RNA
Rfam family: Bacterial small subunit ribosomal RNA
Source: RNAcentral